Molecule: microRNA precursor, 152 nt
Filed under: Solanum lycopersicum (tomato)
Lineage: Eukaryota; Viridiplantae; Streptophyta; Magnoliopsida; Solanales; Solanaceae
Description: MIR7502 microRNA precursor family
Rfam family: MIR7502 microRNA precursor family
Source: Rfam by way of RNAcentral
UGAGAAAAGGCUCAUCUAUGUCAUCUGUUAAAAGUUUGGCUCAUUUAUGCCAUUUCAGUUAACAAAUAAUGGCAUGGAUGAGCUUUUUCUCUAACGAAAAUGACAUAGAUGAGCCAAACUUUUAACGGAUGACAUAGAUGAGCCUUUUCUCA